CAUCAGGAGUAGUUAGUUUACUCCAUUGUUCUAAGCCCUCACAGUGAAUAGGUCGGAUGGCAUGUCUAAGGGGCUGAGUUGUUGCCGCUGGCAUGCAGGUUCUCCUGUGCUGCAUGCCCACAUUAAUCUAGCUCUCCUCGCCUCUGAUGACAUGUUGAAUUAUCGCGUUUGACUGUAUUUGGCAUAUCGAUUGGCUCUCUUUCCUUAUCGUGCCGAUAUUUCUGUCACGAAUCAGUUCAGCAAGACUGUGAAGAAUGAGGCCUAUGCAUGUAUUUCUUCAUGAUCAAUAUGAUUUAUCGUGUU
RNAcentral lists this long non-coding RNA (303 nucleotides) under Oryza brachyantha (malo sina). Its description in RNAcentral is "long non-coding RNA (OBRA_LNC003250)". The record is from RNAcentral. Lineage: Eukaryota; Viridiplantae; Streptophyta; Magnoliopsida; Poales; Poaceae.